GGUGGGCUACACACGUCAUACAAUGGCUGGUACAGAGGGUUGCCAACCCGCGAGGGGGAGCUAAUCCCAUAAAACCAGUCGUAGUCCGGAUCGCAGUCUGCAACUCGACUGCGUGAAGUCGGAAUCGCUAGUAAUCGCGGAUCAGAAUGUCGCGGUGAAUACGUUCCCGGGUCUUGUACACACCGCCCGUCACACCAUGGGAGCGGGUUCUGCCAGAAGUAGGUAGCCUAACCGUAAGGAGGGCGCUUACCACGGCAGGGUUCGUG
RNAcentral lists this ribosomal RNA (266 nucleotides) under uncultured bacterium. RNAcentral's name for it is "partial 16S ribosomal RNA". It matches the Rfam family "Bacterial small subunit ribosomal RNA", at positions 1208 to 1473 of the family's 1533-position model. The record is from RNAcentral.